AGCUAUAUGAGGGGCGGACAAAGGCGGCGGCGAGGCCCUGCAGUUCGCCGCCAUUUUGCGCAGCGGGCUCUGAGGAGCGGCAGCCGCAUCCGGAGCACUUCUCCUCUCUUCACCAUCACCAUGUCGCGGGAUCGGUUCCGUAGCCGUGGCGGCGGUGGAGGCGGCUUCCACCGGCGCGGCGGAGGCGGUGGCCGCGGAGGCCCCAAUCACGAUUUCCGCUCUCCGCCGCCCGGCAUGGGCAUGGGCCAGAACCGGGGCCCUAUGGGGGGCGGCCCGCAGGGCCCGGGCGGCCCGCCGGGAGGAGGCCCGAAGCCUGAGCCUCCGAAGCCGCCCGCGUCGACCUCUGCUCCACCUUCCUCGUCUUCUUCGUCAGCCGCCACCACAGCGGGGCCCGCCGGCAGCCAGGCCGGCCCCGGAGCGCCUCCGUCGUCCGCGCUGCCUUCGGGGCAGACGCCGCAGCAGCAGCCCCCGGUGUCGACACCUUCCUCGACUCCUUCCGGCCCGGGUGGGCAGGCGCAGCCCAAGCCGAGCCCCAGCCCUACCCCGGCUGGCGGCCCUAAGAAAGGACAAGGACAGUCGCCCGGCGGCGGGCCCAAGGGACCGGGUGGCCCGCAGCAGGGGCCCGGCGGGCCGCACAAGGGCGGGCCGGGGCACCGCGGCGGACCGGGCGGAGAGCAGCGCGGCCGCGGCCAGCAGCACCAGGGACAGCAGAGCCUUUCCUCGCAGCAGGGUCCGGCCGGCGGCGGUGAAAAGCUCUCGGACGAGGGAUUUAAAGCAAACCUCUCUCUGCUGAGGCGACCCGGGGAGAAGACCUAUACUCAGCGUUGCCGCUUGUUUGUUGGGAAUUUGCCUGCUGAUAUAACAGACGAAGACUUUAAAAGACUGUUUGCCAAAUAUGGGGAGCCAGGAGAGGUUUUUAUCAACAAGGGGAAAGGCUUUGGAUUCAUUAAAUUGGAAUCCAGAGCUCUUGCAGAAAUUGCGAAGGCAGAACUGGAUGAUACCCCCAUGAGGGGUCGCCAGCUUCGUGUUCGGUUUGCCACCCAUGCUGCUGCUCUCUCAGUGCGUAAUCUUUCACCUUAUGUGUCCAACGAGUUGCUGGAGGAAGCGUUUUCCCAGUUCGGUCCAGUGGAAAGAGCGGUUGUGAUUGUAGAUGAUCGAGGUAGAUCAACAGGAAAAGGCAUUGUUGAGUUUGCGUCAAAGCCAGCGGCAAGAAAAGCCUUUGAACGGUGUACCGAGGGAGUGUUUUUGUUGACAACCACUCCUAGGCCAGUUAUUGUGGAACCGUUGGAACAGCUGGAUGAUGAAGACGGUCUUCCAGAAAAGCUUGCUCAGAAGAAUCCAAUGUAUCAAAAGGAAAGAGAGACUCCUCCCCGCUUUGCUCAGCCUGGCAGUUUUGAAUUUGAAUAUUCCCAGAGGUGGAAAUCUUUAGAUGAAAUGGAAAAACAACAGAGAGAGCAAGUAGCAAAAAACAUGAAAGAUGCCAAGGACAAACUUGAAAGUGAGAUGGAAGAUGCUUAUCAUGAGCAUCAGGCAAACCUCUUGCGUCAAGACCUCAUGAGGCGUCAGGAAGAGUUGAGACGUAUGGAAGAACUCCAUAAUCAAGAAAUGCAGAAGCGCAAGGAAAUUCAGCUGAGGCAGGAGGAGGAGCGUCGCAGGCGAGAGGAGGAGAUGAUGAUACGUCAGCGGGAGAUGGAGGAACAAAUGAGAAGACAGAGGGAAGAGAAUUACAGUAGAAUGGGGUACAUGGAUCCAAGGGAGAGAGACAUGAGGAUGGGUGGUGCCACCACAAUGAACAUGGGAGAUCCUUAUGCUUCUGCAGCCCAGAAAUUCCCACCUCUUGGAGGUGGUGGCGGCAUAGGUUAUGAAGCUAAUCCAGGAGUUGGCCAACCAGCCAUGAGUGGUUCUAUGAUGGGAAGUGACAUGCGUCCUGAGCGCUUUGGGCAGGGAGGUGCGGGGCCUGUGGGUGGCCAGGGUCCUAGAGGAAUGGGGCCUGGAACACCAACAGGAUAUGGUAGAGGGAGAGAAGAAUAUGAAGGCCCAAACAAAAAGCCCCGAUUUUAGAUGUGACCUGUAGUUUCAUUCCAGUUUGUUUUUUGUCUGUCUUGUUUAGACACCAACUUUUUAAUUCUUGCAUUUUAGUAAGAAAGCUACGUUUUUAUGGAUGUUAGAAAACUUACUGACCUAAUAUUUGUAAGUGGUCUGUUUGGGCGAGUACAAUUUAAUUAUGUAAUGCAGUGUUUCAAAACAAACUUAGCUGUUUUUUUUGAUGUAUAACGUCCCUAACUUGAUGGCAGUGUACCUUGUGCCACUGAAUUCCCAAAGUGUACCAACUUUUUUUUACUGUGCUUCAAAUAAAUAGAAAACUAAAUGUAGUAGCUCUUCUUGCCAUUCGUGGUUAAACAUAAUGAGGCAAAAAACCACACCUUCCGCAGUAAACUGAGAGUCUUGAGCAGAGGUCAAACUAGACCAGGGUGUGGAACUGCAGGGAAGAGUGAGAUCUCUUCCCAAAACGCCUCUCUCUUAAGAUUGGGUCAAAUAGUAGCCUAACUUCGCAGUAGGUGCAGAUCUUUUUUUGAGCCAUUAAUUGUGCUGCAAUAAGGAAGCAAAUGGAAAUCUUGCAAGUGCUGCAAGAUGCUCUAAAUCAAGCUACACUGCAAGCAGUGCAGUAUGUAAUCAUGUUUCUAUUUUAGCUCUGGAUAAUGGGUGGUGGGAUGGUAGCACUUACCACCUUGGCAGUUACUGCUUGGAAUCUUUUAAAGAAUUUAAGCAGAAGACUAGCAAUGGUUAUUUUAAACUAAAUUGAUAGAAUGACUUGUAUUGGCUGACUUCCGAACUAAAGGAUUGUUAAUGUGAUAUUUAUAUGCUCUUAAGCUGUCCUGAGAUUACAGGAUCUGGCCUUGCUUCGUAUUGUAUACUUACCUGAAACUGCUUGGCAAAAAGACCAGAAGUGUUACUGUAGUGAUGAAGGUUAACUUGCUUAUGUCCUCAUGGUAACUGAGUAUAGACUACUUUGCCUAGUUCAGAAUACAAUCAUUUGUUUUAUGGGGACUGCAGGAACUAUUCUUAAAUCGUGUAGCUGGUGGGCAAAGCCUAAAAACCUCUAUGUAAAAUACAGCAAUCAGCUUGCUUGCAUGAUGGUUAUUGCUCUUAUUAUUGAUGUUUGGAGAUAAUGCAUCAAAAGUAGUAUCUGAAUCUGGAGUUUCAAGAGUUAAUACUUCGCAGUACGAAUAAACUCCCUUUAAGGUUUUCUUGUAGAAGAUCUGAUGAAUUCGCUAGCUUGCUGCUCAUUUUAUUAAGCCCCAGAAGAAUUUCAGAGCGUUCUGGACUCAUUGAUAAGGUAGUUUCUUUGGUUAUUAUUACAUUGUACCAGCUAAGCUGGGAACCUGACUUCCCAGUGUAAAAGACCUUGGUGUUAAGCAGGUUGACGCAUCCUGCAUUGGCACAAAGUAGGUAAACUUAGUUUGGCUGUACCUUCACAUGAUUCCCCAACUACUGAGCAUUCUGUGAGUAGCUUUAAUUCCUUCCCAAGAUCUUUCCCAUUCCUUGUGCUGAGCAUUGGCUAAUUCUAAAUUCUAUACUAAAUUUUCUCCGUGGUUAAAACUUGGUUUCAGAUUGCAGUAUUUUAGAGUGCAGGUGAUCCCUCUUGAAGUACUUGCUGCAAGUGCUAUUACUCCUUAACUGAAAAAAAUAGCCUGUUGGGAACUGUUGAUACCAGGUAACACUGACUUGAAAUAUCAAGUGCACUAAAGAGUGACUCAGCUUGUUUGGUGAAUGCUGCUUAUUUUCCCAGAAAAGUUUGGGGGUUGAUAACAACGAAUUGCUCUUCAGGAAAUACCCAAUUGGCAGUUCCUAAAUGGCAUAGCAGGUAUUUGGGAGUACUUGUACUUGAUACGUAGUUUAAAAAUCAGCAGUACCGAUGCAAUUUGCUUUACUGAAGUAGUAUUAACCAAUGCUUGUGUGUUGUGGAGGGUGUUCGUGGGACACCCACAGAAGGUGAAGGUGUCUGAGAUGGGGAAUUCUGAACAUAAACAUUAAAUUAAUUUUUUCAGUUUAUUUUUCAGAUUACAUGUCAUUCUUUAUUAAAGAGAUGCCGGUGCAUAUCCUAAAGUAUGUUCUUUUGUAGUUCUGUAACUUGGAAGAGUGAAGGAUGCUGAUGUCCUUGUACCUUACAGAGGUUGUCUUUUGGUACCCCUGUAUUAUACGUAAGCUCCCGUUGCUAGGUAUUAAAAAUAGCUGAGUUGCAAAACCAUGAUGAGUAACUACUGAAAGAUUUGGCAGUUUUCAAAACAUCUGAAAGUUGGGCUAAAUCUAGCUUUGUUGGAGCUGCAGAAGCAGAACUUCUAAAACAAGUUCUGCUUUGAGUUGCAUGUAUUAAAAAGGCAUACAAUUAACUAGCCAACUUCUUUUUCAAGCCUUUUUUUUAAGGUGGUGUCUUAAAAGCUGGCAAACAUGUCAACUUUAAAAUCUGCUAAAUGUGGGAGGUGAGAAAGUUAUGUUCCUUUGAUCUGUUCCUCUGAGGUUUUGGACUUUUUUCAUAAAACCAGAUUUAUAUAAUUGAAUCUUUAAAACCGUUUAGAAAAGUGCUUUGUUGGCCAGAUCUGUUUUUGGACAGUCUGGAUCACGUCACACAUUUUUGUACUGGACUUGGAGGACAUUGGCUGUUGCAAUUUAGCUUGCUUAAUCAAAUUUGUGAGCCCAUUUUGACACUUAGAUUUCUAAAAACUGCAGCAUGUAGAAAGUGGUAUCGUUAUACAGAGAUCUUCACACUUUGAUCAGAAAUGAAUGCAGAAUAAUCUUUUAUCUUCUGGUGUAGACACAUGACACUAAUCAUUUAUACAGCUGAUGAGAAACUGCAACUGCUUUUCAGAUUUUGUGGUAUUUUUGUGGUAGAAAAAUUCUUGGCUUCUCCUUGGCAACCAUUUACUGUGGCAGCAAGUUUUUGCUGGAGUUUUGAGACUGCAAUUUACACUUAUAACUAGUGGCCUGCUACAUAACUGCACUUAGCCAGCAUUUCUGCAGUUCAUAACUGUGAGGAACGUAGUACCACAAAUGGCAAUGGACAUUAGGACCCGGAUGUAGUAUUCCUGCUUGCUCCAAGAUUCUCAUUGCCGACUGCGUACAGGUAGGUAACAAGCAAUAUAAUCUAACUUGGUGACUUUCUAUGUAAUCUUAUACUGUGGGUAUUCUGACAUCACACUUCUGACUGUGGAAUUACAGUGCAGCACUCUUCAUACCUGUAUGUUAAGCUUGCAUCAAAGCUCUGCGUGGUUUUCGGUUUUAAGCUUUGUCUUGUUCAGAGUCAAUAAGCAACUUACCGUGAUUCUUAGAUAAGUAUUUUCAGACCCGAUUCCUUUGUACAUACGACUCGGCUUGUGUGGAUUUUUCUUAGUUCUGAUGUAACGAAGAUACUCUUGGAUGAGCUCUGUGGGGAAGAGGGAAUGUGAUCUUAAACUCGCUUAACCUAGUCAACAGGAUUGACUGCUCUCUGUGCCUAGAAAAGGACUGUUUAAACUUUCUGCAGUGACAACAUGGCCCAUCUACAGUGCAUCCCUUUGUAGAGUCUUGGCUCACAGGAAAUGCUUUAGUAAUCCCUGCUUUAGCCUUGUGUGCAGUAUGUGAUAGUCACUUUCAACUUGCUAAGAGUCAGCUCUGAGACUGAUUUUUGCAACAUUUUUGAGGACAUACAAAUAAGUGCUUGAACGAUGAUCGCUGUGAGUAGCUUAUAGAGCUUAUUGGACAUCUCAGUUGUCUUUUUGACAAGCAUUCCUCUGCCUUUAACUGACAGUAAUGGGAUUCUGUAUUUCUGCCUUGUGGAGUCAUCUUGGUAGUGUAAUGCUGAAUUUCAUCAUUCUUGGAGAUGUAAUUCUAAACUCUUAAUUACUAGAAACACCGACUUUAGUGCUCCGGAAUUAACAUGCUUGUGUUUCCAGACAUCCAGACAUACUGAUCUCCAGCUCUUUUGCAUUAGCUCUUCAACCUGAAUUUUAAGGUCCCUUGUUUCAGCACAUGAUCUAGCUCUCUUGUCUGAUGUUCAGUUUAUUUCAGAGGUGUUGUAACGUGUUUUCCUGCUUGUUCUGCAAAGUUCUGCCUUGCAUACUUGUUUCUGGUAUUAUUGUCACAUUUGGACCUUUCUGUGUUACCUUCCAGGCAAGACUUGCUGCUUGAAGAGGGAAUCUGCUGGCCAGUCUUGCCCUCUGCUGUGGCUGUCCUUUCAUGUUCCACUGAAAGCUUGAAGUAGCAACUGCACUUUAAGAUAAUAGCAGCAGGUCUUUGGUUACACCAUGGCAAGUGUAGCCCAGCUCCAGCUAGUCAAGCAGUGACAUCACUUGUCACAGAGUCAGUUUGGCUUUUUGUGAUGGCUUACUCUUACCUGUGACUAGAACUGAGAAGCGAAACUGAUGGCAGUAUGUGUACUAUCAUGUAACAAAACUGAAUUAUUGAUCCUUAAGCCAGUGCUCAGAUCUGCCUAGGGUUUUUUUCCAGUGUGCUCUGGAUACUUGACUUGACCUGCAGGAAUGUCGUGGAGGGGUUAUUGGCACAUCUGCCCUGUCCUGCGUACUUGAACUGGCAGGUUUUUGAUACUCUUGGAGCAAGCAGUUUGGGACUGAACCAUGGGUCUCAUACGAGCUCUGACGGCAGUAAUGAAACUUGGUGUGGUAGUUAACUUAAAAGCAAUAGUCAUGUCUGCUCUUAAGUCAGUCUGUAACAAAUGGGUACCAGAAAUGACAUUGAAGUGCUUGCAUUGUGUUUCAUCUUGGUUUUAUCUGUGUGUGAAAUACACUUUUUCUCAAAAGCUUAUCUGAAGCUCAGAAGUGUGGUGUCAGAAUACAUCUGCGUACUGCUAGGCCCUCAGAUCCAGAUACUGGUGCUGUCAGGAGAGAGCACAGGGUGUAUGGGGGCUUCACUGUAACAUUAAGCAUACAAAGUGUUGAUUUGCUUGCAGUUUCCCCCCAUAGCUAAACACUGAGGCCUGUGAGUAGUUUUAGGACUCCAGCAGUAAUGGGGUUGCAUGUCUCUGUUAAUCAUUGCCAGCUGCAGUGACAUGAUCAGGAAGGCCAGUGUUUUGUUUCAUUAUGUUCAAUGAGGCUAAGCAUGUUGGAAAGGACGCAUAAAAAGUAUGCUGUUGUGGGUAAUUCCUUGGCUUCUUCCACUACUAGCAAGUUUGGAAUUAACUAAUUAGCUUCGGAUUUCUUCUCCUCUCCAUACCAGCUAGUGGGGCUGUUAAAUAGCUGCUUACUGGAAAAGGAAAAAAAAGGGAGGAUUGGCCUUCUCCCACCUCUGUCAUUGCUGCUAGAUAAUGAUUGACACGUUAGGACUUGGCUGUGCAGUCCCGCAGUGGUCUGUGAAUACCCCAUCUCUAUAAAUGUUGCUUCUGAACACCAGUACUGAAGAGCUAACGGGGGGGGGUUGGGAGGAGCGUGGCUAGAAGUGAAUCUGGAGUGUUAAAAGGAUGCACAAAGAUAUAGUAUCCCUUAUGCAUGGUGUUUGUUGCUAUAGCAUAGAAAACAAAACGUGCAUACUAUACUUCUGCUCCUGAGGGCCAUGAUAAAACCCAGGUGGUGGGUCUGAGACUAAACUUCUUCCUGCCUGGUCAGAUCACAUUGUGACCAUGGUGUGACUUGCCUCCUAACUAGAGGUGUGUACUGCAUCCCUUGGCUACUCAGCAUUGCAGUUUGCCCUCCUCUUAGCUACAGUAAAAGGCUGGGUCUUAACAGUGGAAGAAUCUGUUGCCGAGGACCAAAGUAGUAGACUCAGUGCUAACCUCUGUUGUCUUCCUUUAGCUUUCGAAGCACUUCUAGGACUAUUGAACCUAAGGGCUGUUAGGAGUCCAGGGACAUUGCCCUCCUUCAUGAAGGGGAAGAAAGAGGGUGUUACUACAGGAGACAAACUAGGGUAAAAGAGUUGAAGUAGCUUGACAAAAUUGUUAAUACCUUCACAUAAGGGAUAGUAUACCUCUGGCUGCCAUCAAACUUCUUGUACUCAGACUGGUGAUUUACGGUUCGUGCUCAGACAAGGUGCAGUUCUUGAGUCAACUACCUGCAUAUUCCUUCAUCUCUUCACAAGUGUUUAGGUUAGCCUAUUUCUGCCCCUUAUUCUUCCACUCAGUAUUUUGGCAUAAUUUAUAAAUCCCCCCUCAUAACUAACGAGUCCAUAUAUUUUAAGAACUUAUUUUUAAGUUAGUAUUGAAAUGGUCAGAAUUUUCUGUGUAUUACUGUAGUAACUUUGGUUGUUAUCCUUUAGGUGAAGAUGAAAGCUGAGUGAAACCGCUGUGCUCAUCCAUGGGAAGUAAGCAUAACUUCUGGUAUUGUUCUGAGCGGGUGAAGUAAUGAAGGCUUCUGGGCACUGACCUUCACCUUUGAAUCGGUGAAUAUUGAGAAAUGGUUCAGGAGCCGAGCAUGAGCACAUCCAGCACCAUGCCCAGUGGUACGUGGAGGGACCAAGAAAUCAAGAGAAAUGAAGAUGAAGUCUGAAUGCAGGGAAGAGGAGCCAGGAACAUGCAACUUCCAAGAAUAAAAUAUUUAAUAUUUUUAUAAA
This is an RNA transcript of Neopsephotus bourkii (Bourke's parrot), 8535 nucleotides long. It is a transcript of the gene named splicing factor proline and glutamine rich, with no coding region annotated. The record is from RefSeq and is a predicted model, not a curated record. The transcript is spliced from 12 exons. NCBI's taxonomy places the organism in Eukaryota, Metazoa, Chordata, Aves, Psittaciformes, Psittacidae.